Molecule: long non-coding RNA, 3884 nt
Filed under: Nicotiana tabacum (common tobacco)
Lineage: Eukaryota; Viridiplantae; Streptophyta; Magnoliopsida; Solanales; Solanaceae
Description: long non-coding RNA (NTAB_LNC004171)
Source: RNAcentral
UUGAAAUGUAAAAUUUAAGUAGAAUUUAACUAGGAACAGAUGUCUAACAAAUGAUAAAUAUCCUUUGGAAUCAUUCUGAAUAGCAAGUGACAUAAGUAAUAAAAUAGACCUAAAUAUUUCAAGAGAACAUGCCAUACGUUUAGAGAACACAUAAUGUUGUUACAAUAUGCAAGAAUGUUUCAGUAGAACUACCAAAAAGAUGAGUCGUACAAAAUAUGCCAAAAGUAUUAUCAGGGUCAUCUCUCGAUUCAUAAUGCAAUAGUACAUUAGCUUGCUUCAGAACACCAUCUGGCUUAUCCAUGGACGGAAUCGAGGUAGAGUUAGAAGAAUGCUCUCUGCUUACGGCAAUCUGUUUGGAGCUCUCUUUGUUCAAAUCUUUUUUACAAUGCGCUGACAGUACUGCAGUGGGCGCAGAGAGAUUUUGACCCAUCCGGAGUAAUAUUGGGAUUAUGCAAAACCCCAUGUUUGAAUCUUUGUAAAGGAAUGCUGUUCAUAAAGGGCAUUUUGUUCCUCGGAGGUGCUCUUGGACCUCCCUUUUCUUUAUCAUUAACGUGAAGCCUUGGAAACAUAGGCCCUAUUAAUAAAUUCUCUUCACCUUUCCCUCUCUUCAUUUCUUGCUCCUAAUUAUUCCAUAAAGAAAAAAUAAUAAUUUAACAGAAGGCAUAUUGUUUAGGCCUAUGUUGAGAACAAUAAGAACAUACGACAAAUCAAAGUGAAACAGAAAAGUGAUUCGGGAAUCGGGAAUUUCUGAAAGGGGAAAAAGAUAAAACGACUGUGUGAAAAGGGAAGGUGCAAAAGUGCAAAAGGUAGGAACCGGUUUGGAUAGAACAGGAGAGAAACUAGAACGUCAUUCUAAAGAGAGUAUUUAAUAAUAGGAUUAAAUAUUCAGUUGGGCAUUGAUUAGAAACUUAUCUUUAGAUGUUAAUUGUUUGCCAUUAAAAUAAUAGCCAAGUAUAAUUCUUUUGUUUAAUUAUAUGACAUGUAGACAAGAUUUUGCUUCAAGUUGUAAUAUUAAUUGACUUGUGCAUGUAACUGCAACUCACGGAUAUGAGUUAUGCCAUGGGACAGGAAAUAUAAUUUUGCUUCUGUGGAUGGGACCUCUUUCCUUAAUUAAAAAUCUCGAGUUCGAGCCCUCGGUAUGAAAAAACCCUUGGUAGGCAACGCUUUCCCACGAAUGGGGCCCUACGCGGCGCGAUUCCGGAUAUACACUCAGCAAAAAGAGGUGAUUUUUCACACUUUGUAUACCUGCAACUUAGCAUUAUUGGGAUUAUGCAAAACCCCAUGUUUGAAACUUUGUGAAGGAAUGCUGAGCUGCUCAUAAAGGGCCAUUUUGUUCCUUGGAGGUGCUCUUGGACCUCCCUUUCCUUUAUCAUUAACAUGAAGCCUUGGAAACAUAGGCCCCAUUAAUAAAUUCUCUUCCCCAUUUCCUCUCUUCAUUUCUUGCUCCUAAUUAUUCCAUAAAGAAAAAAUAGUAAUUUAACAGAAGGCUUGUUGUUUAGGCCUAUGUUGAGAACAAUAAGAACAUAUGACAAAUCAAAGUGAAAACAUAAAAGUGAUUCGGGAACUGGGAAUUUUUGAAAGGGGAAAAAGAUGAAACGACUAUGUGAAAAGAGAAGGGGCAAAAGUACAAAAGGCAGGAAUCGGUUUUGGAUAGAACGGGAGAGAAACUAGAACGUCGUUCUAAAGAGAGUAUUUAAUAGUAGGAUUAAAUAUUCUGUUGGGGCAUUGAUUAGAAAGUUAUCUUCACUUGUUAAUUGUUUUCCAUUAAAAUAAUAGCCAAGUAUUUUCUUUUGUGUUUAAUUAUAUGACAUGUAGACAAGAUUUUGCUUCAAGUUAUAAUAUUAAUUGACUAGUGCGUGUAACUACAACUCACGGAUAUGAGUUAUGCCAUGGGACAGGAAAUAGAAUUUUGCUUCGGUGGAUGGGACUUCUUCCCUUAAUUAGAGAUCUCGAGUUCGAGCCCUACGUAUGAAAAAAUUCUUGGUAGGGAGUGCUUCCCCCGAAUGAGGUCCUACGCGGCGUGAAUCCGGAUAUACACGCAGCAAAAAGAGAUGAUUUUCACACUUUGUAUACCUGCAAAUUAACAUUAUUGGGAUUAUGCAAAACCCCAUGUUUGAAUCUUUGUGAAGGAAUGUUGAGCUGCUCAUAAAGGGCCAUUUUGUUCCUUCGGGGUGCUCUUGGACCUCCCUUUCCUUUAUCAUUAACAUGAAGCCUUGGAAACAUAGGCCCCAUUAAUAAAUUCUCUUCAUCUUUUCCUCUCUACAUUUCUUGCUCCUAAUUAUUCCAUAAAGAAAAAAUAAUAAUUUAACAGAAGGCGUGUUGUUUAGGCCUAUGUUGAGAACAAUAAGAAUAUAUGACAAAUCAAAGUGAAAACAUAGAAGUGAUUCGGGAACUGGGAAUUUCUGAAAGGGAAAAAUGAUGAAACGACUGUGUGAAAAGAGAAGGGGCAAAAGCGCAAAAGGCAGGAACCGGUUUUGGAUAGAACAGGAGAGAAACUAGAACGUCGUUCUAAAGAGAGUAUUUAAUAUUAGGAUUAAAUAUUCAGUUGGGACAUUGAUUAGAAAGUUAUCUUCACUUGUUAAUUGUUUGCCAUUAAAAUAAUAGCCAAGUAUUUUUUUUUUGUGUUUAAUUAUAUGAUAUGUAGACAAGAUUUUGCUUCAAGUUGUAAAAUUAAUUGACUAGUGCCUAUAACUACAACUCAUGGAUAUGAGUUAUGCCAUAGGACAGGAAAUAGAAUUUUGCUUUGGUGGAUGGGACCUCUUCCCUUAAUUAGAAGUCUCGAGUUCGAGCCCUGGGUAUGGAAAAAUCUUUGGUAGGGAGCGUCUACCCCGAAUAGGGCCGUACGCGGCGCGAAUCCCGAUAUACACUCAGCAAAAAGGGGUGAUUUUUCACACUUUGUAUACCUGCAAAUUAGCAUUAUUGAGAUUAUGCAAAACCCCUUGUUUGAAUUUUUGUGAAGGAAUGCUGAGCUGCUCAUAAAGGGCCAUUUUGUUCCUUCGAGGUGCUUUUGGACCUCCCUUUUCUUUAUCAUUAACGUAAAGCCUUGGAAACAUAGGCCUAUUAAUAAAUUCUUUCACUUUUCCCUCUCUUCUUUUCUUGCUCCUAAUUAUUCCAUAAAGAAAAAAUAAUAAUUUAACAGAAGGCCUGUUGUUUAGGCCUAUGUUGAGAACAAUAAGAACAUACCAUAAAUCAAAGUGAAAACAGAGAAGUGAUUCGGGAACUGGUAAUUUCUGAAAGGGGAAAAAGAUGAAAUGAUUGUGUGAAAAGGGAAGGGGCAAAAGUGCAAAAGGCAGAAACCGGUUUUGGAUAGAACAUGAGAGAAACUAGAACGUCGUUCUAAAGUGAGUAUUUAAUAUUAGGAUUAAAUAUUCAGUUGGGGCAUUGAAUAGAAAGUUAUCUUCACUUGUUAAUUGUUUGCCAUUAAAAUAAUAGCCAAGUAUUUUCUUUUGUGUUUAAUUAUAUGACAUGUAGACAAGAUUUUGCUUCAAGUUGUAAUAUUAAUUGACUAGUGCCUGUAUCUGUAACUCACGGAUAUGAGUUAUGCCAUGGGACAGGAAAUAGAAUUUUUCUUCGGUGGAUGGGACCUCUUGUCGUAACCAGAGAUUUCGAAUUUGAGCCCUGAGUAUAGAAAAAUCCUUGGUAGGGAGCGCUUCCCUCGAAUGGGCCCUACGCGGCGCGAAUCCGGAUAUGCACUCAGCUAAAAUAGAUAAUUUUUCACACUUUGUAUACCUGUAAAUUAGCAUUAUUGGGAUUAUGCAAAACCCGAUGUUUGAACCUUUGUAAAGGAAUGUUGCUCAUAAAGGGUCAUUUUGUUCCUUGGAGGUGCUCUUGGACCUCCCUUUUCUUUAUCAUUAACGUGAAGCCUUGGAAACAUAGGCCCUAUU